This is a long non-coding RNA of Sinocyclocheilus anshuiensis, 1368 nucleotides long. RefSeq lists it as uncharacterized. The transcript is spliced from 2 exons. Lineage: Eukaryota; Metazoa; Chordata; Actinopteri; Cypriniformes; Cyprinidae. The record is from RefSeq and is a predicted model, not a curated record.
GAGGACUGCCAAGACCUCAGAAUGGUUGGCUUUGGACACAAAUACAUGCAUUCAUUUACGCAGACCGAUAAUUUUGGCCCCAUAUGGCACGGGAACGGCGUGCUGUUGGAAUUUGACUUGAAAUUGCAUUUCACUCAAUCUAGAUCAGUAUUGGGGCGAACCUGUUCAGUAGGAUUCAAGCAUGAAGAAGAAGGGAAAAAACACCAAAACGACAAUUACAGCUACAAAAAAAAAAGUCACUUAUCCAACAUGGUGUCCGUGUUAUGUGGAUGGCCUUAAGCCCCUUUCACAUGAAUAGCAUCAAGGAUUCGAUCCAUGUCUCAACACAAGCGUCUUAUGCUUUGACGCUUACAUGAAAAGAUACCAUUACAGAAAGGUGAUUUUACACGGUUGCUGGGAAGAAAGAAACCAGAGAACCAUUCACAAUGAAAAUGAAAGAGCUCACAUGUGUGUGAGCUUAAAACAGAAAGAAAAUCGCUUGUCAAACUAGAGUUCUUGAAACUUUUCGCAAAAUGCUUUAGAUAGAAGUUGUGUCGUACAACUCAAUGUGUGGCAAUAGUGAAUUGUCUGGUAAUCCUUGUCUAUAUUAUGAAAUCUAAACAACAAAUGGGGUUAAAGUUGAAACUUUGAGUUUCAUAGAUUGAAGCUUGCCACUUCACACUAGAGUUCAAUGGCGUAAACCAUGUGAAAAGGACUUAAAGGAAUACUGGAACUCAGGUCUUGGGGUAAUUCAGCAAUAAAACAUCCUAAUCAUAGAAAUAUUAUCAUAACACAUCAAUAAUUUCCUGAAUUUUGGAGGCCCAGGUCUGCUAAGGACCAUGUCUUCCAUUUGACCAAUCCCAUAAGGCUACAAGAAAAAGGAGGCAAGUCCUACGCAUAGCUGUUACACAAAUACACCAUCAUCUGGUCUACAUAGUGUAGUUCCAUCAGCUUCACCUUCCCUCCAAUCCCAGCAGGCCUACAGCAUUUAAAAACAAACAACCAGAACGACAAACCCAAAAGGACCUUUCAAGCAUGUUUGAAGUAAGGGAUGCUACAUUGGAGCGUUUUUCACGGUCGUCUUCGUAUCAAAUAUUGAGCAAAUUGAACACUGAAUGACAAAUCAAAAAACAAACAAAAAAAAUCGUAACAUUGAGGCAGUCAGUAAGAACCACUGUGCUAAAUUACAAUAGUGCUCCUUAAUUAUCACAAGCUUUAAAACAGAGCCUUGGGAUUACAUUCUCUAAACGAAAUUACGGCAUUUCUCCACACAUGGACAAACAAAACCACUAAACACACAAAUAAAAAUGAUUGUCCGUUUUCCAUUUGGCGGCAAAUAGUUCCAGAGCAUCCAAUAAAGGGCAAGAUUCCGAAGUAGAACUCAGAUGG